GACGAACGCUGGUGGCGUGCUUAACACAUGCAAGUCGAACGGAAAGGCCCUGCUUUUGUGGGGUGCUCGAGUGGCGAACGGGUGAGUAACACGUGAGUAACCUGCCCUUGACUUUGGGAUAACUUCAGGAAACUGGGGCUAAUACCGGAUAGGAGCUCCUGCUGCAUGGUGGGGGUUGGAAAGUUUCGGCGGUUGGGGAUGGACUCGCGGCUUAUCAGCUUGUUGGUGGGGUAGUGGCUUACCAAGGCUUUGACGGGUAGCCGGCCUGAGAGGGUGACCGGCCACAUUGGGACUGAGAUACGGCCCAGACUCCUACGGGAGGCAGCAGUGGGGAAUAUUGCACAAUGGGCGGAAGCCUUAUGCAGCAACGCCGCGUGCGGGAUGACGGCCUUCGGGUUGUAAACCGCUUUCGCCUGUGACGAAGCGUGAGUGACGGUAAUGGGUAAAGAAGCACCGGCUAACUACGUG
This 468-nucleotide ribosomal RNA is filed under the name uncultured bacterium. RNAcentral describes it as "partial 16S ribosomal RNA". It matches the Rfam family "Bacterial small subunit ribosomal RNA", at positions 28 to 507 of the family's 1533-position model. The record is from RNAcentral.